This 1011-nucleotide ribosomal RNA is filed under the name Triticum aestivum (bread wheat). RNAcentral describes it as "partial small subunit ribosomal RNA". Lineage: Eukaryota; Viridiplantae; Streptophyta; Magnoliopsida; Poales; Poaceae. The record is from RNAcentral.
AUGAGUCUACCGCUUACAAGAAAAGAUCUCAUGAUAGUCAAUAUGGGCCCUCAACACCCAUCAAUGCAUGGUGUUCUUCGACUGAUCGUUACUCUCGAUGGUGAGGAUGUUAUUGACUGUGAACCCAUAUUAGGCUAUUUACACAGAGGAAUGGAGAAAAACGCGGAAAACCGAACUAUUAUACAAUACUUACGUUAUGUAACAAGGUGGGAUUAUUUAGCUACUACGUUUACAGAAGCGAUAACAGUAAAUGCACCAGAAUUCUUGGAGAAUAUUCAAAUACCACAAAGAGCCAACUAUAUUAGGGUAAUUAUGUUAGAAUUACGGGUAGCUUCUCACUUGCUAUGGCUUGGACCUUUUAUGGCGGAUCUCGGCGCACAAACUCCUUUUUUCUAUAUUUUUAGAGAAAGAGAGAGAGAAUUAAUAUAUGAUCUAUUUGAAGUUGCUACAGGUUUUAUUAGUGGAGAAGAAGCAGUAAAUUAGGGCUUAUCGGGACCGAUGUUAUGAGCUUCUAGAAUACAAUGGGAUCUUCGUAAAGUAGAUCCUUAUGAGUCUUACAACCAAUUUGAUUGGAAAGUCCAAUGGCAAAAAGAAGGGGAUUCGUUAGCUCGCUAUUUAGUACGAAUUGGUGAAAUGAGGGAAUCCAUCAAAAUAAUUCAACAAGCCAUAGAAAAAAUUCCUGGAGGACCUUAUGAGAAUUUAGAAGUCCGACGCUUUAAGAAAGAAAAGAAUUCUGAGUGGAAUGAUUUUGAGUAUAAAUUUCUUGGUAAAAAAGCUUCGCCCAAUUUUGAAUUGUCAAGGCAAGAGCUUUAUGUAAGAGUAGAAGCCCCAAAAGGUGAAUUAGGGAUUUGUCUAGUAGGAGAUGAUAGCCUUUUCCACUGGAGAUGGAAAAUCCGUCCACCCGGGUUUAUUAAUUUGCAAAUUCUUCCUCAACUAGUUAAAAUGAAAUUGGCUGAUAUCAUGACGAUAUUAGGUAGUAUAGAUAUCAUUAUGGGGGAAGUGGAUCGUUGA